Molecule: ribosomal RNA, 547 nt
Filed under: uncultured bacterium
Lineage: Bacteria
Description: bacterial SSU rRNA
Rfam family: Bacterial small subunit ribosomal RNA
Source: RNAcentral
UGAAGGCAUUAUUGGCGUUGGGGGGACUGUUUGGAGGCAGCGACGCCGCGUGGGGGAUGAAGGUCUUCGGAUUGUAAACCCCUUUCGGGAGGGAAGAUGGAGUGGGUAACCACUUGGACGGUACCUCCAGAAGCAGCCACGGCUAACUUCGUGCCAGCAGCCGCGGUAAUACGAAGGUGGCAAGCGUUGUUCGGAUUCACUGGGCGUACAGGGAGCGUAGGCGGUUGGGUAAGCCCUCCGUGAAAUCUCCGGUCCUAACCCGGAAAGUGCAGAGGGGACUGCUCAGCUAGAGGAUGGUAGAGGAGCGCGGAAUUCCCGGUGUAGCGGUGAAAUGCGUAAAGAUCGGGAGGAAGGCCGGUGGCGAAGGCGGCGCUCUGGAACAUUUCUGACGCUGAGGCUCGAAAGCGUGUGGAGCACCCAGGAUUACAUACCCUGGUAGUCCACGCCUUAAACUAUGGAUACUAAGUGUCGGCGGCUUACCGCCGUGGCCGUAUCUAACGCAAUAAGUAUCCCGCCUGUGAAGUACGGUCGCACGGUUGAACACUCA